RNAcentral lists this unclassified non-coding RNA (20 nucleotides) under Mus musculus (house mouse). Its description in RNAcentral is "oocyte_clustered_small_RNA5902". Lineage: Eukaryota; Metazoa; Chordata; Mammalia; Rodentia; Muridae. The record is from RNAcentral.
UCUAGCCCAAAGGUCCAAAG